Molecule: small nuclear RNA, 110 nt
Organism: Ailuropoda melanoleuca (giant panda)
Lineage: Eukaryota; Metazoa; Chordata; Mammalia; Carnivora; Ursidae
Source: Ensembl
UUGUGCUCAUAUUUGGCCACACAUACACUAAAAUCAGAAUGAUACAGAGAAGAUUAGCAUGACCCCUGUGCAAGGAUGACACACAACUUAAUAAAACAUUCCAUAUUUUU